This 460-nucleotide ribosomal RNA is filed under the name uncultured bacterium. Its description in RNAcentral is "partial 16S ribosomal RNA". It matches the Rfam family "Bacterial small subunit ribosomal RNA", at positions 338 to 795 of the family's 1533-position model. The record is from RNAcentral.
CCUACGGGUGGCAGCAGUGAGGAAUAUUGGUCAAUGGGCGGGAGCCUGAACCAGCCAAGUCGCGUGAGGGAAGACGGUCCUAUGGAUUGUAAACCUCUUUUGUCGGGGAGCAAAGAGGCCACGUGUGGUCAAAAGCGAGAGUACCCGAAGAAAAAGCAUCGGCUAACUCCGUGCCAGCAGCCGCGGUAAUACGGAGGAUGCGAGCGUUAUCCGGAUUUAUUGGGUUUAAAGGGUGCGUAGGCGGGACGGUAAGUCCUCGGUAAAAAUGCGGAUCUCAACUCCGUCGAGCCGUUGAAACUGCCGUUCUUGAGUGAGCGAGAAGUAUGCGGAAUGCGUGGUGUAGCGGUGAAAUGCAUAGAUAUCACGCAGAACUCCGAUUGCGAAGGCAGCAUACCGGCGCUCAACUGACGCUGAAGCACGAAGGCGUGGGUAUCGAACAGGAUUAGAUACCCUUGUAGUC